UAGUCCACGCCGUAAACGAUGUGUGCUAGUUGUCGGGUCUUAUGGAUUCGGUGACGCAGCUAACGCAUUAAGCACACCGCCUGGGGAGUACGGUCGCAAGAUUAAAACUCAAAGGAAUUGACGGGGACCCGCACAAGCGGUGGAGCAUGUUGUUUAAUUCGAAGCAACGCGAAGAACCUUACCUACACUUGACAUACUUGUCGCGGAUUACAGAGAUGUUUUCCUUCGGUUCGGCCGGACAAUGUACAGGUGCUGCACGGCUGUCGUCAGCUCGUGUCGUGAGAUGUUUGGUUAAGUCCAGCAACGAGCGCAACCCCUAUCGUAUGUUACCAGCAUUUAGUUGGGGACUCAUGCGAGACUGCCGGUGUUAAGCCGGAGGAAGGUGGGGACGACGUCAAGUCAUCAUGGCCCUUACGUGUAGGGCUACAAACGUGCUACAAUGGAGACUACAGUGGGCAGCGACAUAGCGAUAUGAAGCUAAUCCCUAAAAGUUUUCUCAGUUCGGAGU
RNAcentral lists this ribosomal RNA (508 nucleotides) under uncultured bacterium. RNAcentral describes it as "bacterial SSU rRNA". It matches the Rfam family "Bacterial small subunit ribosomal RNA", at positions 791 to 1299 of the family's 1533-position model. The record is from RNAcentral.